UAAGGAAUAUUGGACAAUGGACGCAAGUCUGAUCCAGCCAUGCCGCGUGAAGGAUGAAUGCCCUCUGGGUUGUAAACUUCUUUUAUAGGGGAAGAAAGAUACUUUUUUUAAGGUAGUUGACGGUACCCUAUGAAUAAGCACCGGCUAACUCCGUGCCAGCAGCCGCGGUAAUACGGAGGGUGCAAGCGUUAUCCGGAUUUACUGGGUUUAAAGGGUGCGUAGGCGGGCAUGUAAGUCAGUGGUGAAAUACCGGAGCUUAACUUCGGAACUGCCAUUGAUACUAUAUGUCUUGAAUAUUGUUGAGGGAAGCGGAAUAUGUCAUGUAGCGGUGAAAUGCAUAGAUAUGACAUAGAACACCGAUUGCGGAGGCAGCUUGCUACGCAAAUAUUGACGCUGAGGCACGAAAGCGUGGGGAUCAAACA
RNAcentral lists this ribosomal RNA (422 nucleotides) under uncultured bacterium. Its description in RNAcentral is "bacterial SSU rRNA". It matches the Rfam family "Bacterial small subunit ribosomal RNA", at positions 355 to 774 of the family's 1533-position model. The record is from RNAcentral.